GGUCACGUGUCCGAGUGGUUAGGAAACGGUCUGCAAAACCGUCUACACCGGUUCGAAUCCGGUCGUGACCU
Molecule: transfer RNA, 71 nt
Filed under: Patescibacteria group bacterium
Lineage: Bacteria
Description: tRNA-Cys
Rfam family: tRNA
About the family: Transfer RNA (tRNA) molecules are approximately 80 nucleotides in length.
Source: RNAcentral